UACGAAGGGGGCGAGCGUUGUCCGGAAUCAUUGGGCGUAAAGAGCGUGUAGGCGGCCACUUAAGUCCUGCGUGAAAUCUUGCGGCUCAACCGCAAGCGGUCGUGGGAAACUGGGUGGCUAGAGUGCGGGAGAGGAGAGUGGAAUUCCUGGUGUAGCGGUGGAAUGCGCAGAUAUCAGGAAGAACACCCGUGGCGAAGGCGGCUCUCUGGAACGCAACUGACGCUGAGACGCGAAAGCGUGGGGAGCGAACAGG
Molecule: ribosomal RNA, 253 nt
Filed under: uncultured bacterium
Lineage: Bacteria
Description: partial 16S ribosomal RNA
Rfam family: Bacterial small subunit ribosomal RNA
Source: RNAcentral